Molecule: ribosomal RNA, 404 nt
Filed under: uncultured bacterium
Lineage: Bacteria
Description: bacterial SSU rRNA
Rfam family: Bacterial small subunit ribosomal RNA
Source: RNAcentral
UGGGGAAUAUUGGACAAUGGGGGAAACCCUGAUCCAGCAAUGCCGCGUGAGUGAAGAAGGCCUUCGGGUUGUAAAGCUCUUUUGUUAGGGAAGAUGAUGACGGUACCUAACGAAUAAGCACCGGCUAACUUCGUGCCAGCAGCCGCGGUAAUACGAAGGGUGCUAGCGUUGUUCGGAAUGACUGGGCGUAAAGGGCGCGUAGGCGGCCAGGCACGUCAGGUGUGAAAUCCCUGGGCUUAACCUAGGAAUUGCAUUUGAUACGGCUUGGCUAGAGUUCAGCAGAGGGUGGUGGAAUUGCGAGUGUAGAGGUGAAAUUCGUAGAUAUUCGCAGGAACACCAGUGGCGAAGGCGACCACCUGGGCUGUAACUGACGCUGAGGCGCGAAAGCGUGGGGAGCAAACAGG